ACUCCUACGGGAGGCAGCAGUGGGGAAUAUUGCACAAUGGGGGAAAGCCCUCGAUGCAGCCAUGCCGCGUGUGUGAAGAAGGCCUUCGGGUUGUAAAGCACUUUCAGUAGGGAGGAAGGUAGUGGUAGUUAACACCUGCACUUAUUUGACGUUACCUACAGAAGAAGCACCGGCUAACUCUGCCAGCAGCCGCGGUAAUACGGAGGGUGCGAGCGUUAAUCGGAAUUACUGGGCGUAAAGCGCAUGCAGGCGGCCUGUUAAGUCAGAUGUGAAAGCCCGGGGCUUAACCUCGGAAUUGCAUUUG
RNAcentral lists this ribosomal RNA (304 nucleotides) under uncultured bacterium. RNAcentral describes it as "bacterial SSU rRNA". It matches the Rfam family "Bacterial small subunit ribosomal RNA", at positions 335 to 629 of the family's 1533-position model. The record is from RNAcentral.